Molecule: ribosomal RNA, 501 nt
Filed under: uncultured bacterium
Lineage: Bacteria
Description: bacterial SSU rRNA
Rfam family: Bacterial small subunit ribosomal RNA
Source: RNAcentral
UCCUGGCUCAGGAUGAACGCUAGCUACAGGCUUAACACAUGCAAGUCGAGGGCAGCAGGGAUUUAGCUUGCUAAAUCCGCUGGCGACCGGCGCACGGGUGCGUAACGCGUAUCCUAACUUUCCCGUUACUCAGGGAUAGCCUUCCGAAAGGGAGAUUAAUACCUGAUGGUGUUUGAAAUUCGCAUGUUCUUCAAACUAAAGAUUUAUCGGUAACGGAUAGGGAUGCGUGACAUUAGAUAGUAGGCGGGGUAACGGCCCACCUAGUCUACGAUGUCUAGGGGUUCUGAGAGGAAGGUCCCCCACACUGGUACUGAGACACGGACCAGACUCCUACGGGAGGCAGCAGUGAGGAAUAUUGGUCAAUGGACGCAAGUCUGAACCAGCCAUGCCGCGUGCAGGAUGACGGCUCUAUGAGUUGUAAACUGCUUUUGUACAAGGGUAAACCCCGAUACGUGUAUCGGGCUGAAAGUACUGUACGAAUAAGGAUCGGCUAACUCCGUG